This 253-nucleotide ribosomal RNA is filed under the name uncultured bacterium. RNAcentral's name for it is "partial 16S ribosomal RNA". It matches the Rfam family "Bacterial small subunit ribosomal RNA", at positions 524 to 776 of the family's 1533-position model. The record is from RNAcentral.
UACGUAGGGUGCAAGCGUUGUCCGGAACUAUUGGGCGUAAAGAGCUCGUAGGCGGUCUGUCGCGUCGAAUGUGAAAACCCGGGGCUCAACCCCGGGCCUGCAUUCGAUACGGGCAGACUAGAGUUCGGUAGGGGAGUCUGGAAUUCCUGGUGUAGCGGUGAAAUGCGCAGAUAUCAGGAGGAACACCGGUGGCGAAGGCGGCGACCUGGUCCUAUACUGACACUCAUACACGAAAGCGUGGGGAUCAAACAGG